Molecule: ribosomal RNA, 465 nt
Filed under: uncultured bacterium
Lineage: Bacteria
Description: partial 16S ribosomal RNA
Rfam family: Bacterial small subunit ribosomal RNA
Source: RNAcentral
GACGAACGCUGGCGGCGUGCUUAACACAUGCAAGUCGAACGGAAAGGCCCCUUUGGGGGUACUCGAGUGGCGAACGGGUGAGUAACACGUGAGUAACCUGCCCUUGACUUCGGGAUAACUUCAGGAAACUGGGGCUAAUACCGGAUAGGAAUCCUUGCUGCAUGGUGGGGGUUGGAAAGCUUCGGCGGUUUUGGAUGGACUCGCGGCUUAUCAGCUUGUUGGUGGGGUAGUGGCUUACCAAGGCGUUGACGGGUAGCCGGCCUGAGAGGGCGACCGGCCACAUUGGGACUGAGAUACGGCCCAGACUCCUACGGGAGGCAGCAGUGGGGAAGAUUGCACAAUGGGCGGAAGCCUGAUGCAGCAACGCCGCGUGCGGGAUGACGGCCUUCGGGUUGUAAACCGCUUUCAGCAGGGGCGAAGCUUGUGGUGACGGUACCUGCAGAAGAAGCACCGGCUAACUACGUG